AGCCGAUCUUAAAGAAUCAGCUUUCAGAUGCCUUCCUACAGUUUCCUGGGAGCACAAGACGGUUU
Molecule: non-coding RNA, 65 nt
Organism: Otolemur garnettii (small-eared galago)
Lineage: Eukaryota; Metazoa; Chordata; Mammalia; Primates; Galagidae
Source: Rfam